AGUAGUCGAUGACACUUGGUUUCCAGUAGAUUUUAACGAAAUUAAAAGAUAUUUUGCAUUGUCCAUAAUAAUGGCAUAGGUAAAAAACUAAGGAUAACAAUGAAUUGGACGAAGAGGGCUGUUAUCGAAACGCCGAUAUUUAGAAAAUCAAUGCCUUUGAAAAGAUAUCUGCAAAUUACAAGGUGUUUGCAUUUCGCAAACAAUAAUCUGGUUGCCAAUACAGAUAAAUUGAGCAAGAUUAAACCUUGUAUUACAGAAUACAACAAGGAAAUGAAUGGAAUUGAUCUCCAAGACCAAAUAUUAGCAUGCUAUCCAGUAAUGAGGAAAUACAUGAAAGGAUAUAAAAAAAAUUUUUUUU
This 358-nucleotide unclassified non-coding RNA is filed under the name Bombus terrestris (buff-tailed bumblebee). RNAcentral describes it as "misc RNA ENSBTSG00005027404.1". Lineage: Eukaryota; Metazoa; Arthropoda; Insecta; Hymenoptera; Apidae. The record is from RNAcentral.